UUACGACCAGAUCACGUUGAAACACCAAUUCCCGUACGAUCACCGAAGUUAAGCAACGUCGAGCCUGGUCAGUACCUAGAUUGAUAACCACUUGUGAAUACUAGGUGUUGUAC
This is a non-coding RNA of Acanthosepion pharaonis, 113 nucleotides long. The record is from the annotation of a GenBank genome assembly. Lineage: Eukaryota; Metazoa; Mollusca; Cephalopoda; Sepiida; Sepiidae.